CGGAAAGCCACUGGUGCCAUCGCUCAGAAGGAACGGUCACAGCGGAAGACACACAAAGCCUCCAAAUGCUGAAGCAAGUUUUCAUCCUGCUGGUUCUCAGCCUGGUCAUCUCUCUGGCCUACUCCUACCACACAGUUGGGCGACGCAGCGCCUACAGCGGCAGGAACUACUACUACGGAAACAGCCCGCUCAGCAACAAGAACCUCGUUCGCUAUGGUUACGGGUAUGACUACAGCCCCGAAUAUGCUGACGUCAAUUACAACUAUGGCGGCAGGUAUCUUUACUAAAAACCAUGGUCCUUAGCGUACUUUGGGGAAUUCGGUGGCGUGAAGUUAUCUUAUAUUGUCUUCUCGUGUAGCUUUCAUAGAAAUAAAAAGAACUCAUCAUACUA
Molecule: long non-coding RNA, 391 nt
Organism: Haliotis rufescens (red abalone)
Lineage: Eukaryota; Metazoa; Mollusca; Gastropoda; Lepetellida; Haliotidae
Exons: 3
Source: RefSeq, a predicted model, not a curated record